Molecule: long non-coding RNA, 444 nt
Organism: Petromyzon marinus (sea lamprey)
Lineage: Eukaryota; Metazoa; Chordata; Hyperoartia; Petromyzontiformes; Petromyzontidae
Source: RefSeq, a predicted model, not a curated record
GAACCACUACAGAUGCCUCCUGCAGCAGCCGGCCUCGCGAGUUCACGGGGAAGUCUCCCCGCAAGGUGCGGCUGCCGCUGGUCGGCACACAGCGAGGGGCCAGAUCUGACGUCAAACCACGGAGGAUGCGGACGCCUCGCGUACAACCCCGGCGCUUUCGUCCGCCACUGAGCUCCAAAGCCGGAGGGGAGUGCGGUGGAUGAAGACUCGGAGCGUGCGGCACGAGAAGAAUGAGAUACAAAAACGGAAUUGUUUCCUUGUAGUGGCCACGAGCGGCGUCGUGCGCUGUGCCUGUUGGGUUGUUUUAAAAAAAAUGUUGUUUGCAUUACCGGUAACCGCAUGAAAAAAGCCCGCUUUUAACCGGUUUUCCGCACAUAAAGAGAUGUUCGGCAUGAAGUUAUUUUUCCCCAAUUACAUUCCUUAAAUAAUUAUCAAAUAGAGAAA